Molecule: long non-coding RNA, 1420 nt
Organism: Cygnus olor (mute swan)
Lineage: Eukaryota; Metazoa; Chordata; Aves; Anseriformes; Anatidae
Exons: 3
Source: RefSeq, a predicted model, not a curated record
CAGCUAACGCAGACAUCGCAGUUCGGAGUAAGACACGCAGGCUGGCUGAGGCUGCAGGCUCUGAGACUAUCUUGUGCACCUAGGUCCCAUGCCAGAGCUGACCCACGGCAGCGAAAUAACGAGGUCCUAAUAGGAGCAGCAGGUCAGGGCUUUGUGAGUCAGCGCUUGCUCUCUGCACGGCUACAACAGUCACCAUCCAGCUUAUACUACAGAGUGCAUUUGUAUUCUCUAUUUUUGGAGUGCUUAAGGAGGUGAUCUGGGGAGGACAGGAAGCACUCGUCCUUCACUUUCUGUCCAGCCAGGCACUCAGUUCCCUAGGGUGUAGAGGAAGAUGGAAAGGUUGACCAUGUUGUAAGGGCCAAGCGCCGGGGCACCUGCUUUCUGCAGCCACCAGAUGUGGCCCUGAGCACAGAUGAGAAGACUACGACAGCUAUUUGCAUGUGCAAAAAUGAAAGUCGUUAUGAAAAAUCUGUAUAAAUCCCAUGAGCUCAUCUGCACAUACUUGCUGGCUGUCAUGAGUUGGGCUUGCUUUCCUAGGAAGAUCAAUGCAAUGCAAGGCCAACUUGGAUCAAUUGUAAUUAUACCCCUACAUUGAAAAAUUAUGGAAGAGAAAGCGGCCCUUCUCUAUCUGUGCUAUUGCUAGCCUGCACUGCAAGCCUCCACACACCACUGUUAUGGGGACUACGCAGAGUAACUUGCCUGGUGUUUGGCCACAAUUCUACCCUAUUUGCUUCCCUCCACCAGAACCAGGAGACCUGUCUUUCUCCCUCUUUUAAGCGAGAGGAAAAUCCUGCCUGAGGAUAACGGUCACUGCUGUAGCCCUGGUGGUGCGAUGAUACAAACGCAGCAAGGCUCAGGAGGAGAUGCAGAUCUUCUGUAUUGCCAGCUGAUGCUACGGGAACUCCAGAAAACUUCAAAAGCAAACACUUGUUUUCAGGCUCAAAGCAGAAAGUGGGGGGAGAGCUGAUUUUAGAUGCUUCUUUUUAGCAUUGUGAUGUCUCAGAAAGCCUCAAUUCUAGUGUUAAUAAUUGCUCAUUAGCCUCUGCACAGACUGCCAUACUACUACUACUUUUAGCUGCUGACAAGCAAAUCCAUACUGAGACUAGACCAGUGUUCCCAGAGAUCACCAUUCUCCUGCCCGGUUCAUCUGGACCCUUGCCCGCACCCCAACCAUACCCUUAAUCCUACCCCCAGCCCAGCCUCUGCUCAGCAGCUGCUGUCGGAAUUGAAAGGCAGCCUGCAAAAACAAAGCACCAAGGUCUGAUUUCUCUAUGGAAACCUGAAUGUCCCCCCCAUUAUGUCCGCAACUUACCUAAAGUUUCCAACCAUCACAUACAAAACACAAACAGCCAAACCCGACUACCAGGUUCAUUGAUGAAACAGAGGGAAAUUUGACCUGAUAAAGUUAUUUUCCUGCCUA